RNAcentral lists this ribosomal RNA (660 nucleotides) under Delftia acidovorans. RNAcentral's name for it is "bacterial SSU rRNA". It matches the Rfam family "Bacterial small subunit ribosomal RNA", at positions 33 to 690 of the family's 1533-position model. The record is from RNAcentral. Lineage: Bacteria; Pseudomonadati; Pseudomonadota; Betaproteobacteria; Burkholderiales; Comamonadaceae.
ACGCUGGCGGCAUGCCUUACACAUGCAAGUCGUACCGGGCAGSCSUWCGGACGCUGACGAGUGGCGAACGGGUGAGUAAUACAUCGGAACGUGCCCAGUCGUGGGGGAUAACUACUCGAAAGAGUAGCUAAUACCGCAUACGAUCUGAGGAUGAAAGCGGGGGACCUUCGGGCCUCGCGCGAUUGGAGCGGCCGAUGGCAGAUUAGGUAGUUGGUGGGAUAAAAGCUUACCAAGCCGACGAUCUGUWGCUGGUCUGAGAGGACGACCAGCCWYACUGGGACUGAGMCACGGCCCACACUYMUACGGGAGGCAGCAGUGGGGAAUUUUGGACAAUGGGCGAAAGCCUGAUCCAGCAAUGCCGCGUGCAGGAUGAAGGCCUUCGGGUUGUAAACUGCUUUUGUACGGAACGAAAAAGCUCCUUCUAAUACAGGGGGCCCAUGACGGUACCGUAAGAAUAAGCACCGGCUAACUACGUGCCAGCAGCCGCGGUAAUACGUAGGGUGCGAGCGUUAAUCGGAAUUACUGGGCGUAAAGCGUGCGCAGGCGGUUAUGUAAGACAGAUGUGAAAUCCCCGGGCUCAACCUGGGAACUGCAUUUGUGACUGCAUGGCUAGAGUACGGUAGAGGGGGAUGGAAUUCCGCGUGUAGCAGUGUAAAUGCG